Molecule: ribosomal RNA, 253 nt
Filed under: uncultured bacterium
Lineage: Bacteria
Description: partial 16S ribosomal RNA
Rfam family: Bacterial small subunit ribosomal RNA
Source: RNAcentral
UACGUAGGGUGCAAGCGUUGUCCGGAAUUAUUGGGCGUAAAGAGCUCGUAGGCGGUCUGUCGCGUCUGCUGUGAAAUCUCAGGGCUUAACCCUGAGCUUGCAGUGGGUACGGGCAGACUAGAGUGCGGUAGGGGAGACUGGAAUUCCUGGUGUAGCGGUGAAAUGCGCAGAUAUCAGGAGGAACACCUGUGGCGAAGGCGGCUAGCUGGGCCAAUACUGACGCUGAGACACGAAAGCGUGGGGAGCAAACGGG